Molecule: ribosomal RNA, 301 nt
Filed under: uncultured bacterium
Lineage: Bacteria
Description: partial 16S ribosomal RNA
Rfam family: Bacterial small subunit ribosomal RNA
Source: RNAcentral
CAGUCGCCACGGUAAUACGAAGGGGGCUAGCGUUGCUCGGAAUGACUGGGCGUAAAGGGCGCGUAGGCGGCGAUCAAAGUCAGGCGUGAAAUUCCUGGGCUCAACCUGGGGGCUGCGCUUGAUACUUGGUUGCUUGAGUGGGGAAGAGGGUCGUGGAAUUCCCAGUGUAGAGGUGAAAUUCGUAGAUAUUGGGAAGAACACCGGUGGCGAAGGCGGCGACCUGGUCCAUUACUGACGCUGAGGCGCGAAAGCGUGGGGAGCAAACAGGAUUAGAUACCCCCGUAGUCCCUGUCUCUUAUAC